Aedes aegypti (yellow fever mosquito) is the source of this 1156-nucleotide long non-coding RNA. RefSeq lists it as uncharacterized. Lineage: Eukaryota; Metazoa; Arthropoda; Insecta; Diptera; Culicidae. The transcript is spliced from 4 exons. The record is from RefSeq and is a predicted model, not a curated record.
AAGAUAAGUUUGGCGAACGAAUCGAGGCCGCCGCGUUUCGCUCUUGCCGGAGACUGUGAAAAGCUCCCAUAUACGCCUGUUGUCGCCGUCGAUUUCUGGGAUUACGAAUUGCUGUGGGUUGUGCCAGGAGGAUCAAUUGUCGGGAUAUUUCGGCCGUAGUGUUACAUGAAUUUGAAUUAAUAAAGUGACCGUACUAGGGAUUAGUGCUUGAUCAAAGAAGACCAUCAAAUUCGGUUCCGGAGUGAAAAAAUCGAAUAAGUUAAAAUCCUACGUGGAACUUUGGCCAGCAGUGCCCUUGUGUUGAGUGAGUGCGCGAGAGAAAACGGGCCACUUCUGUAAAAUUGUCGACGUCACUUAAUCUAAAUAUGACCACCUCUUUGGGGAAAAAAGCAUCGGUGCGAAAAAUUGUGAAAAAUUCCGACCGCGUCAAGUGAAAAUCUAAUCGUGGUCGUGUUCAAAAUCUAUUCGUAUAUCGUCUCGAUUCUCCUGUUUCUGGUGCAUCCAGCAGCCAACGUACACUGUGCAGCAAUAAUGCAAGGGAAAAGUGCAAUUCAAUGACUCACAUUGCAACGAUGCACAUCGAGCUGGCCUCGAUCACCGAACGAGUCAUUGGAAAUAAAUUACCAUCACUGCGCGUUGCGAAUACCUAUGGCAAAUAAAGGUUCUGUUCAUUCAUCAGUGCCCGGGUGUGAUUUACUACGAGUUGGGGUGAAAUAUUUUACCGAUGAUUAAUCGUGAAUUUUCGAUAUGGUCGUGAUUGGAUCGGGUUAGAAAAGAAAUCAAUAUUCGUGCCUUCGUAGGAGGUCGAAGCUUAGUGAUUAAAAUAGUUCAAUUCGUUGGAUAAGAGUACAAAGAAUAAGCACUCAAAAGAAGAAACCAAGUGUUAUGAAAUUUUUAUGUGUUUUUUCGUCCACUAAAGAGCAGCUCAGCGUAAAAGAAGUGCUAUGUUUUGUUUUCGAACAAAUGAUCACCGUAUUGGCGAUUGAGUGUAUUAGUGUACAUGGGGCUUCCAAGGUACGUGCAGUGAGUAAAUAACUUCCAGCAGUCAGUGCUUCAGACGGUGGUUCAGUGUAAUCGAAACAAAUUGAAUGGUGAUUGAUGUGCGAACGAGAAUUACUAUACAGCUGCUCAAUCAACAGAGUCAAGCCAAAGGGGG